Aegilops tauschii subsp. strangulata is the source of this 3123-nucleotide long non-coding RNA. RefSeq lists it as uncharacterized. The record is from RefSeq and is a predicted model, not a curated record. NCBI's taxonomy places the organism in Eukaryota, Viridiplantae, Streptophyta, Magnoliopsida, Poales, Poaceae.
AAAUAGACUCUCCUUCCUCACGGUCUCUGCCUCACCUUCCUCCCCGCCCCACAGCCGAGCUCCCGUUCCCUUCAUCCAGCGCCGCCCCUUUCCCCCGUUUCUUCUCAGCCUGGGCUGGGACGCAUCGCCGGAAACCCACGCGCGGUCAUCUUCCCCAUCAGCCUGCGCGCCGUGGCUAUGCUCCCCACGCGUCGCCUGCCCCGACGGCCCGAGGGUCCUCACGCCGUCUCGGCUGGAGUGUGCCAAGAGAUGACGGUCAAUCUUUGAUUGCACGCCGCGGCGGCUCGCCAUGGGACUCACGGCAUGGUCGCCGGCGCUCUGCACCUUCCACCGGUGUCUCUUGCACGUGCCUAGAUCACUCCCUGCUACAGCCGGUGGACCUCCACAUGUCGGACGAGGACGAUGGCACUGACGACCCGUGGCCAGUCCCGUGAGACCAUGCCCCUCCCACCUCUUUCGGUGGCUUUCUGCUGCCCCUAGAGCUCAAUGUGGGGGGACUCGCCAUGGAUCGAGCAUCGUUCUGGACGUGGCUGCCCACUGCUCUGCAAGUCGACUGUUCCAACGCCCAGCAUGUGUUCGACGUAAUGUUUGGACGGCUGUAGGUAAAAGAAAAUCAGUUCUAUCCAGAAACUGUGUCAAAGGUUAUAUGCGUGUUCCAUCCCGAGCACAAUUCUUCUUCUUUACAUGUUCCUUUUGUGAUAUAUCUGCUUAUGCAAUGAGGCUCAGCCUGCUACUGAUGAUUGCAGCUUGGAAAUAUGUUGAAAGAGAAACUUUACUGUCAGGAAGCCCUUCAUAUAGGAAAUAAAGUAGGAUGCAGUGUAAAAUGGACCCUGCCUUAACCCUUGAUUGGUAUAAACUUCAUGGAUGAGGCAAUUGAGCUCUACACAACAAGGCAACAAGCAUAUUUAAUACAUCAAGGUUGUUAGGCACAAUUGUUCAUGUAUGUAGAACCAUCUGUUAAACUUACUAUGACUUCCUUUUCAGGAUGCUCCAUGGAAUCUUCGAACAGAUAAAUGGAUAAAGCAAAAGAAAGUCCAUACGGGGCUCUGUGAGGCCUGCUGCUUCCGGUCGUCCUCCCCAAGAGUGUCAGGAGAAGCGGCUACUACAGAACUCAUCGCACUCUCGAGCCAUGCAUGCAUCUUAUUCUGAGGCAAAUUUAGCAUGCAUGUCAGUUAAUUGUUCCAUUAAUGUGUUUGCAGGACAGAGAUGGGAGGCUCUUCUACAAUCUCAUGAUUGACAUCGAGGAGCUGCAUAUCCUUAUUUAUAGAGAUAAUAGAAGUUUGUGAGAAAUUAAGUGUGCUCUACAUCUAAUUUCAGAGGAAGCACAUGUACUGCAGUAGCAUGCAAGUGGGUUCCUGCCAUUGUACAUAGCACGUUCCAGCUGUUGCAUAUCCUUACUUUCAGAGACAGUUAAUAGUUUCUGAGAAAUAUAUAUUUCAUAGCAAUAGCUAUGAGAGAUCAUUAGAGCAGUAGUUCUAUCUACUACCACAUGUAUUUUCCGUUGAUUGUACAAGUUCACAUGUACAUCUCUGAAUAAAGAAGAACCCUAUUACUGAAGUUAUAGAACAGAGGUGGUGUUGCUCUAUAUGUACAGGCUAUUAUUUGCAUGCUUUGCUGAAUAAGUGCAGUUUAGAAUGAGUUGAAAUCUAAGAGCAGACAGUUGCAUAUUCGACUUCCGUUGUGCAGUACCAUUUCUUGCAAAAUACUUCCAAUUAGAAUAGUUGCCGUUGGUAAUCAGUUUUUCCUACUCCAGUUCUUGGAUGUGCUAUCCUCCCUUCUCACUCUCGGGCUCUAGCAGCAAAUGGACCGCAAGCAUCAUGAAGCAGCUCAGCUCCGUUGCCUCCAGUGGCGGCAAGGUUACACACACGCCUAGGGCGACUCGGGGGCGCCUCCCUAACCCUAGCGCGCCGCCACCCAAUCGCCCCCAGCCCCGCGCCGCCGCCGGAGGAAGCCGCCGGGCGAAGCUCGUGAGGCUGACGGCGGCGGCGGGGCGACUCCUCGCGGCUCCCGUUGGGACUGGGGCGGCGGAUCUCGGCGGGAACCGGCGGCGGCCCGGGCGUGCGCGGCCCAUGGCGUCCGGCGGCGUGGUGGCGGGUCUCGGCGAGGGGUUGUAGGUGGUGGCGGAGGGGUCGGCCGUUCCCGUGUGAUGUACUGCUGCCUGCGAUGGCGCAUGGCGCACGGCAGUACUCUGCGUUCCUUGGACGAGCGCGUCCUUGGGAGCAGGAGGGGGUCGGCCUGACGAGCUCCGGUGGGCGUGGCGUGCUCGUGGCAGCGGCAAUCCGGCGCUCCGGGUGGUGUCUCCUUCGAGCGGCGCGAGGUGGACAGCGGGCAUGUGGUGGCGGUGCUGAUCUUGGAUCUGGCGAGGCACCACGGCCCGGUGCUAGGCGAUCCGUGCACACGAUGCUUGAUGGAGGCUCUUCGAACAGAUCUGGGUGAAAACCUGCCUUUGGCUAGCUGCCAAGGCCGGCGGUGACGGCGCUGUUAUGCGGCGUUCCCUUCUUGAAGGCAUCGCCGAGGAGAAGUUCAAAGCCACUAUCUGCUAUCUCCGGGGGAAACCCUAGAUCAGUAGAUCGGAUGACGGCGGCGCUAUUUUGUGUCGUUUCCUCUCGGGGGCGUCAGUCUUGGAGGUGUUCACGGGAUCGAGGGACCAAUGGGAGGCUUCUUUGGUUGAGCGGUGCUUCAUCUUAAACAUUGAUGGCAGCAGGUCUCGGCGGCGUGGUGCAGUGGAGACUUGGCGCCCGAUGCGCGGAGAUGGACUCGCGCAGGAGGAGGUAGCUGUCCGGCGUCAUGGUGACGUCGAUGGCGGAGCGGCCUACACAAGGUAGAAGACUCAAUAUAUUCUGAAGACGGACCUGUGGAAGAUGGCUGCGAUGACACAAGAGUGUGUCUGACCGGAUUGUGCCCCAGACCCGGUAUGUGGCUCGGCUGGGGCUUCCGGCUUUUGAUGUUAGGUUUAGGUGAGUGGUUUGGGUAGUGGCCCAACUAGCAUCCCUUCAUCAUAUUUUGCCGAGAUGGUGGAUUCAGGAAUAUUGUCUGUAAUACUUUGUGAGGUCCUCGAGAAUAAUUAAUAAAGUGGCCGUAUGCAUCUCCCAGAUGCAGAGGCCGGGGGUCAUCCUCCAUUUC